UGUUCUGUAGCUUAGUUGGUUAAAGCGCCGGUCUGACGUACACGGAGUCGUGAGUUCGACUCUCACUAGAACGC
This 74-nucleotide transfer RNA is filed under the name Aedes aegypti (yellow fever mosquito). It matches the Rfam family "tRNA". From Rfam's summary of the family: Transfer RNA (tRNA) molecules are approximately 80 nucleotides in length. Lineage: Eukaryota; Metazoa; Arthropoda; Insecta; Diptera; Culicidae. The record is from Rfam by way of RNAcentral.